Molecule: long non-coding RNA, 536 nt
Organism: Myodes glareolus (Bank vole)
Lineage: Eukaryota; Metazoa; Chordata; Mammalia; Rodentia; Cricetidae
Source: RefSeq, a predicted model, not a curated record
CGCCUUUCUUUUUUUCUUUUUUUUUCUUUCUUCUCUUUUUGGGGGGGAGGGGUGUUAACCACAUGGCCUUUCUAAGCGACCUUUGCAGUUUCUGCAGCUACUAUUCUGGGGAUUAAAGUCAAUAGUUUGUGGGUUGGACAGUUUGGCUUGGUAACCCCCUAAGCACAUUCUAGAAGAAAAAAAAGUGACCUGACAAAAGGUCUUUGAGAGGUGAACCGCUGAAAUCCAGGAACACAGGAAGUUUGGAGUUUUCCAAUUCCUCAUUUGUGGUUCUUCUGAGCAGGCCAUGGCGUUCAACUACAACACAGCUUCCCGAAACUCAGCAGAGCCUCGGUGCCUUCUCAGAGGAUAACACAGAAGUGCAAAGACGAUGGCAUCUCAAGAGCUAAACUGACAUAUGACUGAUCCUAAUUGCAAGGACGGCAAAGAGAUACUAUGUCUUUUCAAUUUAGCAAGAAAAAGAAGGAGAUUCAGAAGGACAACCAGAAUCUUCAUCCGGCGACGGAUGGAGAUAGAGACAGAGACCCUCAUCAGAG